Molecule: ribosomal RNA, 213 nt
Filed under: uncultured bacterium
Lineage: Bacteria
Description: partial 16S ribosomal RNA
Rfam family: Bacterial small subunit ribosomal RNA
Source: RNAcentral
UACGUAGGGUGCGAGCGUUGUCCGGAAUUAUUGGGCGUAAAGAGCUUGUAGGCGGUUUGUCGCGUCUGCUGUGAAAUCUCAAGGCUCAACCUUGAGCUUGCAGUGGGUACGGGCAGACUAGAGGUGUGGUAGGGAGGACUGGAAUUCCGUGGUGUAGCGGUGAAAUGCGCAGAUAUCAGGAGGAACACCGAUGGCGAAGGCAGGUCUCUGGGC